This 497-nucleotide ribosomal RNA is filed under the name uncultured bacterium. RNAcentral describes it as "partial 16S ribosomal RNA". It matches the Rfam family "Bacterial small subunit ribosomal RNA", at positions 28 to 507 of the family's 1533-position model. The record is from RNAcentral.
GAUGAACGCUGGCGGCGUGCCUAAUACAUGCAGGUCGAGCGAACAGACGAGGAGCUUGCUCCUCUGACGUUAGCGGCGGACGGGUGAGUAACAAGUGGAUAACCUACCUAUAAGACUGGGAUAACUUCGGGAAACCUGAGCUAAUACCGGACAAUAUAUUGAACCGCAUGGUUGAAUAGUGAAAGACGGUUUUGCUGUCACUUAUAGAUGGAUCCGCGCCGCAUUAGCUAGUUGGUAAGGUAACGGCUUACCAAGGCAACGAUGCGUAGCCGACCUGAGAGGGUGAUCGGCCACACUGGAACUGAGACACGGUCCAGACUCCUACGGGAGGCAGCAGUAGGGAAUCUUCCGCAAUGGGCGAAAGCCUGACGGAGCAACGCCGCGUGAGUGAUGAAGGUCUUCGGAUCGUAAAACUCUGUUAUUAGGGAAGAACAAAUGUGUAAGUAACUAUGCACGUCUUGACGGUACCUAAUCAGAAAGCCCCGGCUAACUACGUG